This 914-nucleotide ribosomal RNA is filed under the name uncultured archaeon. RNAcentral's name for it is "bacterial SSU rRNA". It matches the Rfam family "Archaeal small subunit ribosomal RNA", at positions 1 to 922 of the family's 1478-position model. The record is from RNAcentral.
UUCCGGUUGAUCCUGCCGGACCUGACUGCUAUCGGAUUGAUACUAAGCCAUGCGAGUCAUUGUAGCAAUACAAGGCAGACGGCUCAGUAACGCGUAGUCAACCUAACCUAUGGACGGGAAUAACCUCGGGAAACUGAGAAUAAUGCCCGAUAGAACACUACGCCUGGAAUGGUUUGUGUUCCAAAUGAUUUAUCGCCGUAGGAUGGGACUGCGGCUUAUCAGUUUGUUGGUGAGGUAAUGGCCCACCAAGACUAUUACAGGUACGGGCUCUGAGAGGAGUGGCCCGGAGAUGGGUACUGAGACACGGACCCAGGCCCUAUGGGGCGCAGCAGGCGAGAAAACUUUGCAAUGUGCGAAAGCACGACAAGGUUAAUCCGAGUGGUUUCUGCUAAAGGAACCUUUUGUCGGUCCUAGAAACACCGAUGAAUAAGGGGUGGGCAAGUUCUGGUGUCAGCCGCCGCGGUAAAACCAGCACCUCAAGUGGUCAGGAUGAUUACUGGGCCUAAAGCAUCCGUAGCCUGCUUUGUUAGUUUUCGGUUAAAUCUGUACGCUCAACGUACAGGCUGCCGGGAAUACUGCAAAGCUAGGGAGUGGGAGAGGUAGACGGUACUCGGUAGGAAGGGGUAAAAUCCUUUGAUCUAUUGAUGACCACCUGUGGCGAAGGCGGUCUACCAGAACACGUCCGACGGUGAGGGAUGAAAGCUGGGGGAGCAAACCGGAUUAGAUACCCGGGUAGUCCCAGCUGUAAACCAUGCAAACUCAGUGAUGCAUUGGCUUGUGGCCAAUGCAGUGCUGCAGGGAAGCCGUUAAGUUUGCCGCCUGGGAAGUACGUACGCAAGUAUGAAACUUAAAGGAAUUGGCGGGGGAGCACCACAAGGGGUGAAGCCUGCGGUUCAAUUGGAGUCAACGCCGGG